RNAcentral lists this ribosomal RNA (503 nucleotides) under uncultured bacterium. RNAcentral's name for it is "partial 16S ribosomal RNA". It matches the Rfam family "Bacterial small subunit ribosomal RNA", at positions 28 to 523 of the family's 1533-position model. The record is from RNAcentral.
GAUGAACGCUGGCGGCGUGCCUAAUACAUGCAAGUCGAACGAAGAUCUAGCUUGCUAGAUCUUAGUGGCGAACGGGUGAGUAAUACAUAAAUAAUCUGCCCAUAUGACUGGGAUAACUAUUGGAAACGAUAGCUAAUACCGGAUAGGUUGAUCGGAGGCAUCUCUGAUGAAUUAAAGUAGGAUUUCUACACAAAUGGAUGAGUUUAUGGCGCAUUAGUUAGUUGGUGGGGUAACGGCCUACCAAGACGAUGAUGCGUAGCCGACCUGCGAGGGUGACCGGACACACUGGGACGGAGACACGGCCCAGACUCCUACGGGAGGCAGCAGUAGGGAAUUUUCGGCAAUGGGCGCAAGCCUGACCGAGCAACGCCGCGUGAGUGAUUAAGGCCUUCGGGUUGUAAAGCUCUGUUGUAAGGGAAGAACAUUCAGGAUAGGAAAUGAUCUUGAACUGACGGUACCUUACCAGAAAGCCACGGCUAACUACGUGCCAGCCGCCGCAGUAA